AUGCCCGCUUCAGCAGCACAUGUACUAAAAUUGGAAGGCCGUACAGACUAGCAAGGCCCCUGCACAAAGAUGACAUGCAAAUUCCUGAAGUGCUUCUCAUGUUU
Cavia aperea (Brazilian guinea pig) is the source of this 104-nucleotide small nuclear RNA. NCBI's taxonomy places the organism in Eukaryota, Metazoa, Chordata, Mammalia, Rodentia, Caviidae. The record is from Ensembl.